Molecule: ribosomal RNA, 253 nt
Filed under: uncultured bacterium
Lineage: Bacteria
Description: partial 16S ribosomal RNA
Rfam family: Bacterial small subunit ribosomal RNA
Source: RNAcentral
UACGGGGGGGGCAAGCGUUGUUCGGAAUUACUGGGCGUAAAGGGCUCGUAGGCGGCCAACUAAGUCCGACGUGAAAUCCCAAGGCUUAACCUUGGAACUGCGUCGGAUACUGGAUGGCUUGAAUUCGGGAGAGGGAUGCAGAAUUCCAGGUGUAGCGGUGAAAUGCGUGGAUAUCUGGAGGAAUACCGGUGGCGAAGGCGGCAUCCUGGACCGACAUUGACGCUGAGGAGCGAAAGCUAGGGGAGCAAACGGG